Molecule: long non-coding RNA, 802 nt
Organism: Anopheles aquasalis
Lineage: Eukaryota; Metazoa; Arthropoda; Insecta; Diptera; Culicidae
Source: RefSeq, a predicted model, not a curated record
GGAAUGUGACAGCGGCAACGAAGCAACGGAUCGCAAAAUUUAAGCGAGAAGAUGUUUAAAUUAUAGCCCCGGCCAUCAUCGUGAAUUGGUGACAAUGGAAGCGGAUGGGACUCCCGAGGGUCGGCCGGUCAGCGGUCGGUAAUUGUGCCUUAACGAAACCGUUCGAUGAAGUGAGCAUCGCCUGCGGCCAGAGAGAGAGAGAGAGAGAGAGAGAGAGAGCAAAAGCAAGAGGAUUGUCGUAGGUCACGUCGGAGUGAUCGGUGGCCCAUAAAUUAAGGGGCACACCUGACAAGCUAUCAACGUUGGUGACGUUGGUGGCAAUGGUGGUGGUAACGCAUCCCGCGUAUACGGCGCUUCUAUAAAUAUCCCGCGGUUGCCGGCAGCUAGGCGCCAUAGCCGGACCGGACCAGCCCAGCCCAGACCAGGAGCAGCACCGAUGCGAUGGAGGAGGAUGAGAGUAGGUUGCGUUGAGGUUUGCGAUGUCCGAUAAUGCCAGCACCGGGACACGGUCCGGAAAGGCGGACGUGAGACGCGCAGAGAGCAACGCAGCACACACCCGCGUGUUGUCAUUGGCAUUAACCACACGCUGGGCAAAGGAUGUCGGUUCCGAGAACGGUAUUUGCAAACCGGAACUUGAGUGUGACAGCGGAGUGACGGCCGAGACUCCCGUGGACCGCACUGACUGGCCUCGAGAACCUCCGAAAAGGCCGAAAUCUAGUUGAUCGGGGCGCCUGUUACUGUUAAGUCCCGGAUGGAGUUCUCCGAAAAAUAAAAUCGAGAUAAUAAAGGAAUCCCAAUUACA